Sebastes umbrosus (honeycomb rockfish) is the source of this 1705-nucleotide long non-coding RNA. RefSeq lists it as uncharacterized. NCBI's taxonomy places the organism in Eukaryota, Metazoa, Chordata, Actinopteri, Perciformes, Sebastidae. The transcript has 7 exons. The record is from RefSeq and is a predicted model, not a curated record.
ACACAAAGACAGCUCACAUAUUGAAGAGACAGGGUGAGACUCACCUCCAGGCUGUGGACAAACUGCAGACUGGAUGAAGUAAACACAGUCGGACCACUGAAGGCUUCAGGAAACUGAAAUGGGCUGAAACACUCGCUGAUGAAAUCCAGAAAUCCUCCUCUGGCACACAAACCCGCAGGGGGCAGCAGAGUCCAAUGUUCGAGUGUUGAGCCCGCCUGCAUCAUCAAAACCAAGAAAAAAAAAGUGAAUUAUCACAUUAAAUGCAACACUUUCAUUAGAAGUCAAAAGUAAAGCAUGGCUGCUGGCACUAACAGGAUUGAUGCUACCACAGUUGCAUUGCUCUCUGACAGAGCUCUCCUGAGGGAGGUGAUGACACCAUGAUGCUACGAAGUUGCUGAAAACCAGCCAAUCCCCGCUGACACGAGCUGGUCUCCAUGAGUUCAAAGGGUGAAAGCAGCCUGCGUGUCUUCUUUCACACAUGAAACCCCUGAACGACUUUCAAACUGAAUCAGAAUGAGCAGCCAGAGACUAGUUUCUGACAGAUUCAUGGCACACUAAAGAGGAGACGGAGUGUGGGAAAGUGUGGUUAAGGACGACUGAGCGCCUGAUGCACCGUUGGACUACAGAGGCCCGCAGGCUGGCAGGCGCACACAUCUACCUAACACUUAAUCGAGAACAAAGUGGAGGAAGGGGAGGUACGGCGGCGCGUCAGUUAGUUUGCCCUCACUGAGGUGAGACGGCCAACGCAACCCGUGAUAGUUUCCUCCACUUUCCUCGCCCGCAGCCGAACAAAUCUGUGUGUAUAGCGUAUACGUCAGCUCACCGUGAGACAACACGACCCAGAUAUGUCCUACUUGGAAAUAAAGAGGCUGGCAGAAACAGAGGCAGAAAUAUGGCAUCAACAGCGCUGGCUUCCUGUGGAGAGGAGGGGUAAUGACAGGGAAGGAGAAAUGAAGGAUGAGUUUGUCUGCACUGCAUGCAUUCCUCCAGAAAACCAUUUAUUGUCUUCAGUUACCAGUCUGAGCGGGCCCAGCAAUACGGCAUGGGCCUCCAGCAGCGUGGUGUCGUCGUUGGCUCCCAGUGGGGACCGGUGCUGCUCUCCACCUUCCAUCAGAGCUACAACUGCAGGGAGAAGGCAGCAGCGAAGCCGGAUGUCUGUCUGCGGUGGGAUGGUCGCUGGAGGCCCUGCUGACGUCUGAGCUCAAGGAGUUUCUGGUGAACCUGUAUGACUUUGUCUGAUUUCGCCGGAAUCUGACUCAGUGAUAAGCAUUAAGAAUAACUAUAAAAAUAGCCAGAUGGUCUUGUUUGCUCACGUAGGUGAUAUAGAGGCAUCAGUAUUAAAUUGAGACAGUUUCAUAUCCAGUUAAAAGUCCCUCGCAGUAACUUUAAUGCAACUUAUAUUGAACACAUAUUUAGGGCUUAGUGCCUUUUAAGAGACACAAAUUCAAUGAGCAACCCUCCAAUAAUAAAACACUAAGACAAACACAAGGAGGAUUUGCGCAAACUUGCUGCUGACUUUCUCUGAAUAUCAGGCAGUAUGCUCUCCCUCUUCUUAGCCAGUUCCUUCUUCACCAAGCAAACACAUGUGAUGCAAUCCAUAUUUUUUAAGUCUUUAUAAGAAAAUGUAACAUGAACAUGCUGAGCUUUCACAGAACAGAACGCCCUGAUCUACUUCCCAACGUGUUUCCCUGUAUGACCAAAUCAA